AUUGAACGCGGGCGGCAGGCUUAACACAUGCAAGUCGAGCGGGGUGAUGGUGCUUGCACUAUCACUUAGCGGCGGACGGGUGAGUAAUGCUUAGGAAUCUGCCUAUUAGUGGGGGACAACAUCUCGAAAGGGAUGCUAAUACCGCAUACGUCCUACGGGAGAAAGCAGGGGAUCACUUGUGACCUUGCGCUAAUAGAUGAGCCUAAGUCGGACUAGCUAGUUGGUGGGGUAAAGGCCUACCAAGGCGACGAUCUGUAGCGGGUCUGAGAGGAUGAUCCGCCACACUGGGACUGAGACACGGCCCAGACUCCUACGGGAGGCAGCAGUGGGGAAUAUUGGACAAUGGGGGGAACCCUGAUCCAGCCAUGCCGCGUGUGUGAAGAAGGCCUUAUGGUUGUAAAGCACUUUAAGCGAGGAGGAGGCUCUUUUGGUUAAUACCCAAGAUGAGUGGACGUUACUCGCAGAAUAAGCACCGGCUAACUCUGUGCCAGCCGCCGCUGUAA
Molecule: ribosomal RNA, 503 nt
Filed under: uncultured bacterium
Lineage: Bacteria
Description: partial 16S ribosomal RNA
Rfam family: Bacterial small subunit ribosomal RNA
Source: RNAcentral